This 74-nucleotide transfer RNA is filed under the name Bifidobacterium breve. RNAcentral describes it as "tRNA-Gly". It matches the Rfam family "tRNA". From Rfam's summary of the family: Transfer RNA (tRNA) molecules are approximately 80 nucleotides in length. Their secondary structure includes four short double-helical elements and three loops (D, anti-codon, and T loops). Lineage: Bacteria; Bacillati; Actinomycetota; Actinomycetes; Bifidobacteriales; Bifidobacteriaceae. The record is from RNAcentral.
GCGGACGUAGUUCAUCGGUAGAAUGAAAGCUUCCCAAGCUUUAGAGGCGGGUUCGACUCCCGUCGUCCGCUCCG